This 855-nucleotide ribosomal RNA is filed under the name Rhytismatales sp. RNAcentral's name for it is "partial large subunit ribosomal RNA". It matches the Rfam family "Eukaryotic large subunit ribosomal RNA", at positions 74 to 946 of the family's 3401-position model. The record is from RNAcentral. Lineage: Eukaryota; Fungi; Ascomycota; Leotiomycetes; Rhytismatales.
AUUGCCUCAGUAACGGCGAGUGAAGCGGCAACAGCUCAAAUUUGAAAUCUGGCUCUUUCAGGGUCCGAGUUGUAAUUUGUAGAAGAUGCUUCGGGUGUGGUUCCGGUCUAAGUUCCUUGGAACAGGACGUCAUAGAGGGUGAGAAUCCCGUAUGUGACCGGCUACCUUCGCUCAUGUGAAGCUCUUUCGACGAGUCGAGUUGUUUGGGAAUGCAGCUCAAAAUGGGUGGUAAAUUUCAUCUAAAGCUAAAUAUUGGCCAGAGACCGAUAGCGCACAAGUAGAGUGAUCGAAAGAUGAAAAGCACUUUGGAAAGAGAGUUAAAUAGUACGUGAAAUUGUUGAAAGGGAAGCGCUUGCAAUCAGACUUGCACGCAGUUGAUCAUCCGGUGUUCUCACCGGUGCACUCUGCUGCGUUCAGGCCAGCAUCGGUUCUGGUGGUUGGAUAAAGGCCUUGGGAAUGUAGCUCCUUUCGGGGAGUGUUAUAGCCCUCGGUGCAAUGCAGCCUACCGGGACCGAGGACCGCGCUUCGGCUAGGAUGCUGGCGUAAUGGUUGUAAGCGACCCGUCUUGAAACACGGACCAAGGAGUCUAACAUCUAUGCGAGUGUUUGGGUGUCAAACCCAUACGCGUAAUGAAAGUGAACGGAGGUGAGAACCCUUAAGGGUGCAUCAUCGACCGAUCCUGAUGUCUUCGGAUGGAUUUGAGUAAGAGCAUAGCUGUUGGGACCCGAAAGAUGGUGAACUAUGCGUGAAUAGGGUGAAGCCAGAGGAAACUCUGGUGGAGGCUCGCAGCGGUUCUGACGUGCAAAUCGAUCGUCAAAUUUGCGCAUAGGGGCGAAAGACUAAUCGAACCAUCUA